Musca domestica (house fly) is the source of this 839-nucleotide long non-coding RNA. RefSeq lists it as uncharacterized. The transcript is spliced from 2 exons. The record is from RefSeq and is a predicted model, not a curated record. Lineage: Eukaryota; Metazoa; Arthropoda; Insecta; Diptera; Muscidae.
ACUGAGAAUUUUGUUGGAAGCUUUUGGUUUUUCCCAAUACACUCUUUGCUCAAGAAUAUACCUUGUACCAAGAAUCUCAUUAGCUUUACGAUUUGCCUUUAAAUUUACUAAGAACAAACUAGUAUCAACACCGUGUUUUCUUGAGAAAUCUGUAGAAAAAUUUUUAACAGUUUGUACAGUAUCCGGAACGAACUUAUCUAUUUCAGACUUAAUGUCAUUUAUGUCAAUUUUAAAGUAUAACAGCCAGUUCCACGAUAUCGAAAGAACACGUUCGCACAACUUUUACACGACAAACAGCUGAUUUCCGUUCCACUAAAAUCUAUCAGAACGAAAAUUUGCACGAAAAUCAAAGCGAACGAAAACGUAAGCAUUUCAGUGUAAUUUUGCGUUCCACUAUCUUUUUUCUUUCGUACGCAUGCGAACACAAAUGUCAAAAUCAGUCACUUGUGUGUUUGCUAUCGUAUAAUAACAAUUAAGGAAAAUUGUUUUAACAUAAACAUUGCUUGAUUGAAAAUGGAAACAAAAAUCACGAAAAAAUCAUCAACUACACAGCUGCGGGCACUAGUUGAGUAAAUGGAGGAGAAUCCUGUGUUCGCCAGAGGAAUGCCAAUUUUUGGAAGCAGCAGAAGAAGUUUUAAAUCGGGGCGGAUUUGGUAGUUCUGCAACCGGGCACCCACUUCUCUUCCAUCAUAUCCAAAAGAGCCCGAAAACUUCCUUCGACACACGAAAGUUGGCCACAAACCUAGAAAAAAUCAUUUUUUAUUAUUUCAAAAAUGUAAAAAUACAAUCAUACUUACUGGUUGUUAGGUACUUCAAAUAAAUUCGAAGCAUCUCUUAAA